This 429-nucleotide ribosomal RNA is filed under the name Pseudomonadota bacterium. RNAcentral describes it as "Proteobacteria bacterium partial 16S ribosomal RNA". It matches the Rfam family "Bacterial small subunit ribosomal RNA", at positions 355 to 776 of the family's 1533-position model. The record is from RNAcentral. Lineage: Bacteria; Pseudomonadati; Pseudomonadota.
UGGGGAAUAUUGGACAAUGGGCGAAAGCCUGAUCCAGCCAUGCCGCGUGUGUGAAGAAGGUCUUCGGAUUGUAAAGCACUUUCAGUUGGGAGGAAGGGCAGUAAGCGAAUACCUUGCUGUUUUGACGUUACCGACAGAAUAAGCACCGGCUAACUCUGUGCCAGCAGCCGCGGUAAUACAGAGGGUGCAAGCGUUAAUCGGAAUUACUGGGCGUAAAGCGCGCGUAGGUGGUUCGUUAAGUUGAAUGUGAAAGCCCCGGGCUCAACCUGGGAACGGCAUCCAAAACUGGCGAGCUAGAGUAGGGCAGAGGGUGGUGGAAUUUCCUGUGUAGCGGUGAAAUGCGUAGAUAUAGGAAGGAACACCAGUGGCGAAGGCGACCACCUGGGCUCAUACUGACACUGAGGUGCGAAAGCGUGGGGAGCAAACAGG